This 468-nucleotide ribosomal RNA is filed under the name uncultured bacterium. Its description in RNAcentral is "partial 16S ribosomal RNA". It matches the Rfam family "Bacterial small subunit ribosomal RNA", at positions 28 to 507 of the family's 1533-position model. The record is from RNAcentral.
GACGAACGCUGGCGGCGUGCUUAACACAUGCAAGUCGAACGGAAAGGCCCUGCUUUUGUGGGGUGCUCGAGUGGCGAACGGGUGAGUAACACGUGAGUAACCUGCCCUUGACUUUGGGAUAACUUCAGGAAACUGGGGCUAAUACCGGAUAGGAGCUCCUGCUGCAUGGUGGGGGUUGGAAAGUUUCGGCGGUUGGGGAUGGACUCGCGGCUUAUCAGCUUGUGGGUGGGGUAGUGGCUUACCAAGGCUUUGACGGGUAGCCGGCCUGAGAGGGUGACCGGCCACAUUGGGACUGAGGUACGGCCCAGACUCCUACGGGAGGCAGCAGUGGGGAAUAUUGCACAAUGGGCGGAAGCCUGAUGCAGCAACGCCGCGUGCGGGAUGACGGCCUUCGGGUUGUAAACCGCUUUCGCCUGUGACGAAGCGUGAGUGACGGUAAUGGGUAAAGAAGCACCGGCUAACUACGUG